AUGAAACAUAAUACAGAUAGUAACUUAAAACAAUCUUUUACUGAUUUCCCCGAAUAUAUACAAGAACAUAAUUUUUAUGCUGAUAAAACUUAUAACGGCAGAACAGAAGAAAAAGAAGUUAACGAAGAAAAAAAAAAAAAUAAUAACAAUAAUAAUAAUAAUAAUAAUAAUAAUAAUAAUAAUAAAAUAAAUCAAUUAAUAUAUACACAUAAUGAAAGUAAAGAUAAAAAAUUUUGUACCCAAAGAAACUUAAAUGUGGAUUACUCAGAAAUAGAAAUAAAAAAUAUAUUGAAUAAAGUAGAAAGUAUGGAUAAUUAUAACAUGAACAAUAUGAACAAUAUGAACAAUAUGAACAAUAUGAACAAUAUGAACAACAUGAACAAUAUGAACAAUAUAAACAAUAUAAACAAUAUAAACAAUAUAAAUAAUAUAAAAAAUAUAAAUAAUAUAAAUAAUAUAAAUAAUAUAAAUAAUAUAAAUAAUUAUAACACUCAUGAUGAUAGUAUAAACAAUUAUGAAACUGUCAUUAUAAACAAUGAUAAUAUAAAAAAUAAAUUUAACCACUUACAAAAUUACUUUGCUUAUAAUAAAAAUAAUUCUUUACAAAAUAAUAUAAAUGUGUAUGAUCAAACCAUUAGUAAUGUUAUAAGUAAGAAUGGAAGGGGUGAAAAUAAAAAAACUGACACUAGUAACAACUUAGUUCAAAAUGGCACUGUAGUUAAAAAUGGAAAUGUAGUUAAAGCUGACAACGUAGUAAAUGAUGAUAAUAUAAUUAAUGAUAAUGAAUUAAAAUUAAAAAAGCAUAUUAAACUUUUAGAGUUACUAAAAUAUGUCAUUUUGCACCCAAACGAAACAAAUAAUAAUGAAUGUAACCAAAACAACGGGAACAGUAGUAAUAGAAAUCAAAAAGAAAACUACUACGACAAUAACAACAAUAAUGACAAUAACAACAAUAAUGACAAUAACAACAAUAAUGACAAUAACAACAAUAAUAACAAUAAUAACAAUAACAACAAUAAUGACAAUAAUAACAAUGCGAGUAUAAAGUUUAAUAAAAACUACAAAAUAAAUGACCCCGGCAAUGACAAAUUAUCAACAGAAACAGUAGGAGUACAUGAAUCCGAUACAUUUAAAAACCAAAAAAAAAAACGUUAG
Long non-coding RNA from Piliocolobus tephrosceles (Ugandan red Colobus), 1155 nucleotides. NCBI's taxonomy places the organism in Eukaryota, Metazoa, Chordata, Mammalia, Primates, Cercopithecidae. The record is from Ensembl.